UACGAAGGGUGCAAGCGUUACUCGGAAUUACUGGGCGUAAAGCGUGCGUAGGCGGUUUGUUAAGUCUGUUGUGAAAGCCCCGGGCUCAACCUGGGAAUGGCAAUGGAAACUGGCGAGCUAGAGUACGGUAGAGGAGAGUGGAAUUCCCGGUGUAGCAGUGAAAUGCGUAGAGAUCGGGAGGAACAUCAGUUGCGAAGGCGGCUCUCUGGACCAGUACUGACGCUGAGGCACGAAAGCGUGGGGAGCAAACGGG
Molecule: ribosomal RNA, 253 nt
Filed under: uncultured bacterium
Lineage: Bacteria
Description: partial 16S ribosomal RNA
Rfam family: Bacterial small subunit ribosomal RNA
Source: RNAcentral